CAGUAGCCACGGGAAUACGGAGGGGGCUAGCGUUGUUCGGAAUUACUGGGCGUAAAGUGCACGUAGGCGGCUUUGUAAGUUAGAGGUGAAAGCCCGGAGCUCAACUCCGGAAUUGCCUUUAAGACUGCAGAGCUAGCAGGUGAGAGAGGUGAGUGGAAUUCCGAGUGUAGAGGUGAAAUUCGUAGAUAUUCGGAAGAACACCAGUGGCGAAGGCGGCUCACUGGCUCAUACUGGACGCUGAGGUGCGAAAGCGUGAGGAGCAAACAGGAUUAGAUACCCGCGUAGUCCCUGUCUCUUAUAC
This 301-nucleotide ribosomal RNA is filed under the name uncultured bacterium. RNAcentral describes it as "partial 16S ribosomal RNA". It matches the Rfam family "Bacterial small subunit ribosomal RNA", at positions 509 to 807 of the family's 1533-position model. The record is from RNAcentral.